RNAcentral lists this ribosomal RNA (529 nucleotides) under Enterobacter asburiae. RNAcentral's name for it is "bacterial SSU rRNA". It matches the Rfam family "Bacterial small subunit ribosomal RNA", at positions 924 to 1453 of the family's 1533-position model. Lineage: Bacteria; Pseudomonadati; Pseudomonadota; Gammaproteobacteria; Enterobacterales; Enterobacteriaceae. The record is from RNAcentral.
CACAAGCGGUGGAGCAUGUGGUUUAAUUCGAUGCAACGCGAAGAACCUUACCUACUCUUGACAUCCAGAGAACUUUCCAGAGAUGGAUUGGUGCCUUCGGGAACUCUGAGACAGGUGCUGCAUGGCUGUCGUCAGCUCGUGUUGUGAAAUGUUGGGUUAAGUCCCGCAACGAGCGCAACCCUUAUCCUUUGUUGCCAGCGGUUCGGCCGGGAACUCAAAGGAGACUGCCAGUGAUAAACUGGAGGAAGGUGGGGAUGACGUCAAGUCAUCAUGGCCCUUACGAGUAGGGCUACACACGUGCUACAAUGGCGCAUACAAAGAGAAGCGACCUCGCGAGAGCAAGCGGACCUCAUAAAGUGCGUCGUAGUCCGGAUUGGAGUCUGCAACUCGACUCCAUGAAGUCGGAAUCGCUAGUAAUCGUAGAUCAGAAUGCUACGGUGAAUACGUUCCCGGGCCUUGUACACACCGCCCGUCACACCAUGGGAGUGGGUUGCAAAAGAAGUAGGUAGCUUAACCUUCGGGAGGGCGC